GCCGUUUUUGUGUAUGUGUGUGUGUGUGUGUGUGUGUAUAUAUAUAUACACACACACACAUACACAAAAACGGCUC
This 76-nucleotide microRNA precursor is filed under the name Pelobates cultripes (western spadefoot toad). The record is from RNAcentral. Lineage: Eukaryota; Metazoa; Chordata; Amphibia; Anura; Pelobatidae.